Molecule: ribosomal RNA, 436 nt
Filed under: uncultured bacterium
Lineage: Bacteria
Description: partial 16S ribosomal RNA
Rfam family: Bacterial small subunit ribosomal RNA
Source: RNAcentral
AGCGAACGCUGGCGGCAGGCUUAACACAUGCAAGUCGAGCGGGCAUCCUUGUGGUGUCAGCGGCAGACGGGUGAGUAACGCGUGGGAACGUGCCCUUCGGUUCGUAAUAACUCAGGGAAACUUUAGCUAAUACCGGAUACGCCCUUUUGGGGAAAGGUUUACUGCCGAAGGAUCGGCCCUCGUCUGAUUAGCUGGUUGGUGAGGUUAUGGCUCACCAAGGCGACGAUCAGUAGCUGGUCUGAGAGGAUGAUCAGCCACACUGGGACUGAGACACGGCCCAGACUCCUACGGGAGGCAGCAGUGGGGAAUAUUGGAAAACGGGGGCAACCCUGAUCCAGCCAGGCCGCGUGAGUGAUGACGGCCUGAGGGUUGUAAAGCUCUUUUCUCCGGGACGAUAAUGACGGUACCGGAGGAAUAAGCCCCGGCUAACUUCGUG